Molecule: long non-coding RNA, 650 nt
Organism: Esox lucius (northern pike)
Lineage: Eukaryota; Metazoa; Chordata; Actinopteri; Esociformes; Esocidae
Exons: 4
Source: RefSeq, a predicted model, not a curated record
UCUGUCCAUGUAUGGUAACGAAAAGAAAGACCCUCCAGUGGAAUAGUCAAGUGUCUCAGUCACGCCAGUGAAUGUGAGUUAAUAUGGAGAUGCAGUUGAUAGUCCUGAUUGUCCUACACUUGGUCUCUUCAGUGUCCUCCACUAUGACCAGAGUGGUCAAACCUGGGGAGACUGUCUGUAUGUCCUGUAACGUACCUAUGAAGACCUCGACAAUGUGGUUUGGACAAGAGUGCAACAAGACGCCCUUUGUCAUCAUAUCGGCCAAACAAUAUGACGUUAACGAAAAGAAAGUUCUAAAUAAAUUCCUCCAUGGCAACAACAGUGCAUUCAGCACAAUGUUAGAGGACAAUGGCUCCAUCAGUCUGACCAUCACAAAGAUGAAUGAGUCUUUGCUAGGAUUCUACUAUUGUACUUCAGGAAUCGACAAAGAACUUACAGUUGGAUCCGGUUACAUUCUUGAAUAUGAGAAGGGCAGUGUUUCACCUAAAAGAGAUGAUGAUGAUGGAAACAAUGAAUCAGACAGAAUAAAAACAGCCCAGGGACACAGCGACGAUGUACAGGGUAUGGAACAGGAAGUGCAUUACACCUCCUUCUGUUUGUCAAAUGGAGAUCAUCGUGGCAAAAGAAAAAACACACAUCAUUAAUGUGAU